Molecule: long non-coding RNA, 2787 nt
Organism: Crotalus tigris (Tiger rattlesnake)
Lineage: Eukaryota; Metazoa; Chordata; Lepidosauria; Squamata; Viperidae
Exons: 2
Source: RefSeq, a predicted model, not a curated record
GGGGGGGGAAAUGGUGGACUGCAUUGUUUGGCGACCCCCGUGAAAUGGUCGUUCGACCCCAAAUGGGGUCCCGACCCACAGGUUGAGAACCACUGCUUUAGCUGCUUCUACAGGACAUUUAGUAUGCUAAUGUUGUUCACUGAUAAGAUUAGCGAAGGAGAUUCUCUAGCAAACGAAAGAUGUUUAAAUUCUGUGAAACUGACUUUUCAGCUAUAUCCAACCCUUUAUCAAUCAAACAAUGAGAACUGAUUCUCACAAAUAACAAACAUCUAAAGCUGAAAAAGCUUCUUGAAUGAGAAGCGAAAUGUCUUCAAAGAAAAGCAAAGUCCAGUUGCCUCUUGAAAAAGCACCUUUGGGACAUGACCUGGAUGUCUGAGAAUAUAGACAUUUAACAAACAUCUAGUUAUUAAAGAAAAUACUUUAAUUUACAGGAGAAGGGGGAUCGACUGUACUGCCCAGAAGUUAGUCAGUGGAGGUUGGGGAGGGUUAUUUUAAAUACCUUGCUGCUACUUAUGUAGCAACUGUGCUUUAAUUCCUUCCACUUGUUCCAAAACUUUUCAGCAUAAUGUUAUUUCUAUAUAUAACAUGGCAGGGGGCAAAGAAGCUUUGGGGCUGCAAUAUCAGCUGUUAUGGAGACAGAAUUAAAUAUUUUAUAUAUCUACACAUAACUGCCGCAUAUUAGACCCAUUUCUCUUACAUGGACAAAUUCACACGUAGGUUAUUUGAUUCUUCUGAGUGAAUGCAAGUGUAAGUAUACCACAGAUUCAGGCUGAUAUCCAGCCUAUAAUCUGAAGACCACGUGUGCUCCCUGGUGUGGUUAGAGAGAGAGAGGGAGGAAAGGAAGGAAGUUACUUCCAUCUAUUUCAAAAUCUUGGGAGAUCACCAGGUCUCCUAAAAUGUUGGCAUCCUUGCGUAGAACCUAAUGAGCUUUAAGAUAUAAUCUCAUGGUAAUCUGAGAUUGGAUCUGUUCUCGUGCAAAAAAAACACAAAAACAAGUUGUUCACAGAUUACUGUACACUCACUGCAUUACAAUGGCCUUAAAAAGCAUUUAAUGACAGUGAAUUCAGCUAGAUAAAACAUUUUGGAACUGCUGCUCUAAAUCAGCAGCCUCUUAGCACUUCAAUCAGUUAGGUAAAAUAAACUUGGGAUUCCUUUUAUACUUGGUAUUAGCAAAAGUUGCUCUUCCGUUCUAAAGAACUGGCCCUCAGGCGGGCAGUCAUCUGCUGUUAGACUUAUUGUAGUUACGCCAUUCUGAAUAUUUUGUCCUGCGUCUUUACCCACUAGCACUAUCAUUCUCUUGUUUCCUCAUUAUGUCAGCCCUGAGGUAACAUAGAAGGAAGGGCUUGCUUUUCCUGAAUAGUUUGAGUGAACUGCUUAGAACAGGGGUCCCCAACCUCCGUGGCUACUUAGGAACCGGGACGCGCUGCUGGAGAUGCACUGAAGGCACGUCUUCCACCUCCAACUAUGCAAGUCUGCAGGAGUCGGUGCUGGGGAGGGAGAGUGGUGGACCAGAAGCUGUCUUACCCAGUGCAAAGGUCCUCCGGGCAGCUGAGCUUCCUCCUCUGGCUCCCUUCAUGCAGCUCUCCAAGUUUGCAAGACAAGCAGGCGUGCAACCGGGGGUUCCCCCAAAGCUUUGUUAAAGGGAGACUCCCUCCCCCAAGGCCCCCAAACUCUAAAUGGACUCUACUUAAAAAUGUAGAGUUGCACGCACCGGAGAAGUGACUUCGCCUUGGCAAAGUGCUUUCCCAUCUAUGAACGCCUCCCAACUCCAAGCACCCACAUCUCCUUCAGCUUCAUAGCAACGCAUGACAUUGUGCCUCCGAAAUCACCUGCCCCUCUCCGUGACAGCUUCGCUAAGAAUCCUGGUUUCCUCCCAGCCGAGUCGAGAGCCUCACUUCCUCGCCUCGCUUGCAGGUUCGCAUACGCGAAGUCCCUCAAAUGAAUCCCAUCCUUGUCUUAGAAUCACGUGACUGGAAGGCUUCCUCCCCAUCGCCUGUCAUUUCCUGAUAGAGAAAAAGGCUCGUCUUCUACUAUUCUCCGCCCCUUCGCACCAGCGAUUAACUGCUCCUCCCACUUUUGCGUUCCACCCAAUGACAAAGCCUAGAAUUCCCUUUUCCUUUUUGCUACUAUUCUCCGGCCCACUCAUCAAGCGAUUGGCUGCUCUUCUUAAUUUUUGCGUUCCACCCAAUGACAAAGCUUAGAACUCCCUUUUCAUUGCCUCGCCUUGCGAUGAAAGGUGUCGCUGUCCUUUCUUUCCCUUACUUCGAUGACAUUUUUUUUUUCAAUGAUCUUUCAGGGAGAAUGUUACGCACUUGGUAUCUAUGCCGAUGUUAUUGUAAUCCACUUCGAGACGUCUGUUAACAAUAAAAACAGCGUUAGGCGCCUAUUUAAAUUAAAGUACUUCCAAAUAAUUCCACUUUCUCACCACUUUCCACUUGCUCACGUGAUUGGGGUAGGUUUCUUCCCUGCCCGAAACCCUUAGUCUCCCGACUGAGUUGCAAAGCUUGGCUGGGUGAUUUUGAGGCAGUCACUACUCUCUCUCAGCCCAACCCACUUCACAGGAUUGUUGUGAGGGAAAAUGAGGAAGAAAUAUGAGGUACGUUUGCCACCUUGAGCUACUUACAAAGUAAUAAAAGCGGCACAAAAAACCAAAAAUUAAUAAAAAAAACGAGGAUGCAGCAAAAAGAGCAAUUUACAACAAUCAUGCCAAUCACUGCAGUAAUAUAUUCAAAGUUGAAAGUAAAGUUUAAAAUUCUCAAAUAAAAAUAAAAUAUUGUCCUUACACCA